AUUGAACGUUGGCGGCAUGCCUUACACAUGCAAGUCGAACGGCAGCACGGGAGCAAUCCUGGUGGCGAGUGGCGAACGGGUGAGUAAUAUAUCGGAACGUGCCCAGUCGUGGGGGAUAACGUAGCGAAAGCUACGCUAAUACCGCAUACGAUCUAUGGAUGAAAGCGGGGGAUCGCAAGACCUCGCGCGAUUGGAGCGGCCGAUAUCAGAUUAGGUAGUUGGUGAGGUAAAGGCUCACCAAGCCGACGAUCUGUAGCUGGUCUGAGAGGACGACCAGCCACACUGGGACUGAGACACGGCCCAGACUCCUACGGGAGGCAGCAGUGGGGAAUUUUGGACAAUGGGCGCAAGCCUGAUCCAGCAAUGCCGCGUGCAGGAUGAAGGCCUUCGGUUGUAACUAGCUUUGUACGGUAACGAAACGGUAGAGCUCUAAUACAGUUUGCUAAUGACGGUACCGUAAGAAUAAG
Molecule: ribosomal RNA, 467 nt
Filed under: uncultured bacterium
Lineage: Bacteria
Description: bacterial SSU rRNA
Rfam family: Bacterial small subunit ribosomal RNA
Source: RNAcentral